GACAGAGGUUGCAAACGUUGUUCGGAAUUACUGGGCAUAAAGCGCACGUAGGCGGUCCGUUAAGUCAUGUGUGAAAUCCCCCGGCUCAACCGGGGAAUUGCGCCUGAUACUGGCGGGCUAGAGGUCGAUAGGGGUGAGCGGAACUCCAGGUGGAGCGGUGAAAUGCGUAGAUAUCUGGAGGAACACCGGUGGCGAAAGCGGCUCACUGGAUCGAAACUGACGCUGAGGUGCGAAAGCUAGGGUAGCGAACGGG
This 253-nucleotide ribosomal RNA is filed under the name uncultured bacterium. RNAcentral's name for it is "partial 16S ribosomal RNA". It matches the Rfam family "Bacterial small subunit ribosomal RNA", at positions 524 to 776 of the family's 1533-position model. The record is from RNAcentral.